Molecule: ribosomal RNA, 270 nt
Filed under: uncultured bacterium
Lineage: Bacteria
Description: partial 16S ribosomal RNA
Rfam family: Bacterial small subunit ribosomal RNA
Source: RNAcentral
UACAGAGGGCGCGAGCGUUGUCCGGAAUCACUGGGCGUAAAGGGCGCGUAGGUGGCGGCAUAAGGCCGUGGUGAAAGUCGGGGGCUCAACCCUUGAUCGGCCAUGGCAACUGUGUCGCUAGGGCACCGUAGAGGCAGAUGGAAUUCCGGGUGUAGCGGUGGAAUGCGUAGAGAUCCGGAAGAACACCAGUGGCGAAGGCGGUCUGCUGGGCGGUGGGACGUGAGUCCCAAUAGCCGACACUGAGGCGCGACAGCGUGGGGAGCAAACAGG